This 38130-nucleotide long non-coding RNA is filed under the name Ananas comosus (pineapple). Its description in RNAcentral is "long non-coding RNA (ACOM_LNC008222)". Lineage: Eukaryota; Viridiplantae; Streptophyta; Magnoliopsida; Poales; Bromeliaceae. The record is from RNAcentral.
AGCGGAACUGACAAUAACACAAAACCAAAACAACAAAUGAAAACAACAAGCCCUACUCGAUCAUACAGAUAAUCCUCGCACGAGCAUCGCCCGUUUUAUUACAUAGCUUAUAAGGUACGUAGCACGAAGGGCACUUCACUGCAUGCAAAAUCGCAGCUUCGAUAACCCUUACAUGGAGCUUACACGAUCAUCCGAACCCAUGUCGGAGGGUUCUGUAGUGCGCUGCGACGAAACCAGAGUCGGGUAAAUACCGUAGCUAGCCAGACCACAUAAUCCAGGAUAUGCCGUGUCUCUUAACAUCCUCACGUAUCCAUUUUCUCCCCACGUGUUGCCCCAUGAAUUUUUUAUUAUCCAAUACUUGUCUCCGGUGCUGCUGUCCUGCCCGUAACCUACGACGGUGACGGCGUGGAAAAUAUUCGUCCCACAAGGUCCUUUAAAGAUACCGCCAUUGUAGUGAUUGAAGUAAUAAGAGCUAGCAUCAAUAGCAAUAACUGUCGGCUGGUUCGCCACAGCAUACAUGAUCGCACGUUCAUUGUAGCUAGGUUGUACCUGUUGAUAGCCGGUAAUAUAAGCUGCGUUCGGUUUGCUAUUUGCAGCGCAAGUGCCUUUAUAUCCUACAUAGGGAUAGUUCGCCUGCGCGGUCACGCCCUUGUUAGCGAUGAUGAAUUCGUAGGCUUUGUGCACCCAACCAGAUGUGCACCCGUUGCUAACAGUACAAUCUAAAACUUCUUGCUCCGAUAGAGAUAUUAGUUGUCCUGUUUUGAUCUUGUAGAUGCCUUCUACCGUCGCGAUUGAAGAGAAUGCCCAGCAAGAACCUAAUUUCAAAACAUAUAUUCAAGUAAUUAGCACAACUGGUACAAGCAAAAGUUUCGUAGAUUAUUAAUUAAGAUGUAAGAAGAACAUUCAAACAAGUAUGGACAAGGUGGAAAUAUUGAUUACUGUAUUACUUUAUUAUCUAUGUUGUUUACUUGUGUGAAAAUGAUUAAUGUCGUCAUACUUCUUGUCAGAAAUUAAUUUUUCUAGAAACUUAAACUAUCGAAGAAUGAUUUCUAAUUAUUAAGAAUUAAUACACCUUACGUGUAAUCUACAAAUUUAUAGAUAGUAGAUGAUAACGUGUGUUCGUACACUUUUAGUUCGUCUGAGACAUGAACCUUGCAUUUAAAUGCGGUAGAGGUUUGAUUUCUUUGUCAACAUAAAUGGCUGAUGGAACAGUGAGAUUUGGGCCCAAGGCAUCCUAUUCUCAUCAGGUUAAUUAAAAAAUAAAAUUUGUAAAGGUUCAGGAUGCUAUAGCUAGAAAUUAAUGUGCUUUAGUUCUCUAAACUCAACACUUGAUUCUUACCGCAAGAGCCUUGAUUCUUGACUGGUGUGACGGCACCGUAAUCCCUCCAAUCAAUGCUUUGAGGUAUCGCGGACAUGUUUACAUCCUCAAACGACACCGAUGGCUCUAAAUUUGUCAUAUUUAGAGGAAGAGAUAGACCGACAUGCUGAGCCACAAUUUCAUUAUUUGUCAUGUCAGCGAAUUGGUUAAUGCCCAGAGUAUACGAGUUUCCGCCACGCCUGUUAAAGGCUUCGAUGCGGUUUACAUUGUCUUUAAAGAUCUCAAAACGGCGCAUCUUCUCAGCAUCGUCACUGUAAACUCGGCCGAAAUCAGCCAUCCAUUCUUCAAACCUCUUCAUCAUCGAAUCAUCUGCUUCGCCGCGAGAAGCCAACGACGAAGCCCACAUCACAGAAAGAAACAAAAAAAGAAACAAUAUUUGGAAUUUGGAAGCCAUAGCUCUGACUUACAAAUGCUUUUGUUGCUGAGAGUUAGGCUCUCCGCAUCGAGUUUAUAUAGAAGUUCUCGGCCCAUGCACUAAAGUUGCUGGACCAUUAAAUNUCGAAUCAUCUGCUUCGCCGCGAGAAGCCAACGACGAAGCCCACAUCACAGAAAGAAACAAAAAAAGAAACAAUAUUUGGAAUUUGGAAGCCAUAACUCUGACUUACAAAUGCUUUCGUUGCUGAGAGUAAGGCUCUCCGCAUCGAGUUUAUAUAGAAGUUCUCGGCCUAUGUACUAAAGUUGCUGGACCAUUAAAUUUUAAUUUUUUAAAAACUUUUUUUAGAGGAAAAGAUACAACGUGCAUGUGAUGAAAUCAUUAAUUAAUUUCUCUCUUAUCCAUUGUUCGAUAGGAAAGUCGCAAUCAAGAGAGGUACAACUUUUCACUCCGUACGCGAGAGUUAUAGUGGCUGAGCUUGCCCCUCCAUGUGUGUUGACGUACGUCGUUGCAUGAUUGAUAAUACAGCAUGCGUUGCACAACAGGAAUUAAAAAUACAGCAUGUGCAUGCGCAACAGGAAUUAAAAAAUACAGCAUGUGUCGCACUAUAGGAAUAAGAAUAAGAGCCGCACAUAAUUUUAAAAUGAUAUAUGUACAUUAACAAAUAUUAUUAUUGUUUACAAUAGCUCUUUUUCUUUUUUUUUUCUUUUUUUUUUGAGAGGAAUCUCAUCAAAAAUAGAGAAUUGUCUAGAUAUCUAUCGUUUCCUGAUGUGUCGAUAUGUUGAAGGUGUUUUGGAUUAUAGUGGCGUUGGACCACAACAUACAUGUGAGUAGUUUAGAUAUCAUGUUAUUUUCUGUAGAUAUUUAAGAUUUCGAUAAAUUGAACUACAUGUCUCUAUUUUUUAAAAAAUUUGAUAUAUAUUUAAGACAUGACUCUUUCAAUUAUAUCAUGCUAGUUCUUAUUCUGAAUAAAAAAAAGGGCUAAAUUUUUUCUGAGUAGAUUUUUCUUUUUUCUUUUUCUUUUCUCUCUCUCUCUCUCUCUCUUUUGAGACCUAGUAGUCUUAUAUUUUGUAGCUAAGUUUAUUUUCGAAAUGAAUGAAGCAGAUAGCUUGCUAUCUUUUUCUCAAAAAAAAAAAAAAAAAAAGCUUAAAUUGAAUCAGUCAAACCUAUCCCCUGCUGUGUAUCAGUUACAACCUCAAUUUUAAAUAUGUUGAAAGGCAAAUUGCACUAAUAAUCUCAACAAACUUCUAUUUUUAGUCCUCAAUUUUAAGUUUUCAAUAUUUGGGACUCGUGACUAUCCAUUCUAGUGCUUAGUUAAAAAAAGUAAAAAAUACAAAAAAUUACGAGCAAAUUAAGCUAAAUUGUAGAAAAGCUCCUUACAUAUGUUGGAUUUUACACUUUUUCUUCAAUAUUUAAACUAUCAGCCAAAUCAUUAUAUACUUUACAACCACUCGCACCAAUAUAAAUUAAGAAGCGAAAAAAGUUCUAAUAUCGUGUUAAAGAACUGAAUCUAAUCAAAACAAAGUCACGGUAAAGAUAACUCUCACAUUAGAUGUACUAUUUAAUAUUAUCUAAUAAUAUAACCAAACAAGUACUCUAUAGAUGAGCGUACAUGCUAUCAGAAGCAGUCGAUGAGCUUCCCGUGCCUUCCAAGUCGUUUUGACUGUUGCGACUUGCGAAUCGUCGAUCGACUCCGUUAAACUUGAUCUAGAGUAUUUGAAGUACCUAGAAAAUAAAUUUUAUGAUUUUACGAUAUCAUUUGCCUAGUGAACGAAGGAGCUCAAAAUCAACGGCUGAAAAUAAAAAUCUUACAAAAUAUAAUAAUAUGACAUUAAAAUUUUAAAUCAAAGAUAUUUAUCUUGUUUUAUAUAGUAUAAAGAAUUUUCUAUCAAAAUUUCACGUGAUUUGGAUAUUUCUACACCGUUAAACUUGCAAACGGCUCACUACGGCCAUUGAAAUUUGUUGAUUUUGAGCCCAUUCGAUCACUAGGCAAAUAAUAUCGAAAAAUAAUAAAAUUUAUUUUCUAGGUACUCCAAAUACUCUAGAUCAAGUUUAACGGAGCCGAUCGACGAUUCGAAAGUCGCAAUAUCGAAAACGAGUUGGAAGCACGGAAGGCUCCGUGCUUCCGAUAUCAUAGUAGCCUCACUCCUCUAAUAAUAUAAUUUUGUAUUUUGUAUUUCAAUUAUAUAUACUUUCCAUAUUGACCCUCACAUUACCCCAUAAAUAUUCAAAACAAAUAAAUCUACAAAAAUAUUUUUUUUUGAGAUAUUUUUGUAUCAUAAUGUUGCAUGUGCAUGUGCAUGUGCAUGACUUUUCAAAUUGCCUGGGACAAAAAUAUUAUAUGUUUGGGGACUUUGCGGAUCGGCGCCACGUGGUCGAUUCAAUGGUCACGGAUCUCAGUUGCUUUUUCUCUCUCUCUAAAAACACAGAAUUUUUUUUUUGUCUUUCCAUCCGUGGCCAUCGGAUCGGCCACGUGGCACCAAUUUGCAUAGUCCCAAACACAUGCCCAUAAAAUUUUUGUACAAUUGUCUGGGGGCCAUCCCAAUAAUUUUGCAGCCAACGCAUUCAAUGCGGUGACAACUUAAAUUUAAUUAUUGGAGCAAGAAAAUGUGAAACCCUUAAACUUUAAGCGACUUUGAAAUAGCUCCUCAAUAUGGUUUUUCCCUCAUUGCCAUGUUUUAUAUUAGUUUAGGGUGUGUUUAGUUCUACCUAAAAUUGUUCCAAUUUUUUUUUUUCGGUUGAAAAGUAAAAUCUCAAAACAGAACCAGAAACCAUAAUGUCGAAGCAAACAACAGAACCAGAAACCAUAAUGUCGAAGCAAGCUUAGCAAUUGGAUGCAGCAAACAUCCAUAUUUAUGCAAGUUAAGCAAACAAGAUAGCAAACUGCAGUGUUGCUAAAUCAUUUGCUUCCCACUUAUUAAGAUGAGCACAAUGUCGAAAAAAUAUUAUUAUUAUACUUUCAAAAAUACAAUUAAUUUAUUAUUGAUAAUGUGGUAUAAAUAUGAUACGGUAAAUUUUCUCAUCGUCAUUUGUUUGGACCGAUACGAUGUAAUCGGGAGGGGUACAACUUUCACUCUUACGCAAGAGUUAUUGCUGUUGAUGUGUUGUUUAUUGGGACAAAAGUUUUAUAGGCAUAGUGCUCAAACUAAUUAAUUUGGAGAUUAUGCGGACUGAUGCCACGUGGCCGAUCCGACGGCUACGGAUGGAAAAAAAAAAAAAAAAAAAUUCGUGAUUUUAGAGAGAGAAAAAAAAGCACGGAGAAUCCGUGCCCGUCAGACUGCCACAGGGCGGCCGUAUCCGCAUAGUGCCCAACCAAACUAAUUAAUUGAGCACUACAGCCCAUAAAAUUUUUGUCCGUUUAUGGAAUUAUUUUUUCAGGAGAAGAAUGACGCUAAUCUGCUACCAUAAUAAAGAGGGUGAAUUAAUAGCUACAAGGAUGAGGACAGCAACGUGUCACAGAAAGAGAGACAGAAAAAAAAACAACGAAAAAAAACAUAGGAAGGUAGUUUCGAUUACAAGACCCAAAGAAUGUUCCAAGAGUUUUAUUGGAAUGAUACGCGAAUCAUGUUUGCACAACGGGAGGAGGAGCAAAUAAGAGAGCAAGCAUAAAAAUUACAACGCGAUUCACGCUCUCUUAAAAUAUUAUAAAUAUUUACAAAAUACCUUUUAAGCGAAAAUAGUCCCAUCAAAACAUAUGUUGAGAGUUACAAAUAAGGACGUGUUUUGGUUCGCUUUUUUUUCGCGCCUGGAAUCAAACUUCGAAAUCGGAAUGGGUAAAUCACAUUUGUGGGUGUUGGUACGGCGGAGUGCCAUCCAAUUCCCGAUGCCCGAGUGGACAUGGAAUCCCCCAAUCACUCUCUUUUCAUUCCGCGGCUUAGGAGGCCGAAUUGAAAUUGAAUCCGACGGAAUGAUAUUUAAUUCGGAUUAAAUUUAUUUUUAAUUGUUUUUAAUUAAACAUAGAGUUAAAAUCAAAAUUAAAAAUAUAGUAAUUUUUAAAUUUAAUUUAAAACCUAAAUUAAAAUUAAAAUGUAAAUCAAAGUAUUUCGAAUACUAAACUUAAUGAAUUGAAUUUAAAAAUUAAAUUUUAAAAUUUAUAUAAAGUUUUAUUCAAAUUUAUUGCAACCCUAAAUUAAAUUUAUGAUUCAAAUUAAAAAUUUAAAUUUGUAAAUUUUAAGUUGAAUUUGAAUAAAUCUAAAUUUAUUUCAUAUUUUUAAUUCAUCACACUCACUUAAAGUUUAUUUUUUUAAAAAAAAUAGAUUUUAAAUUUGACAUUAUUCAAAUUUUGAUAUAAAUUUUAAUAUUUAAUUUUAAUUUGAAUUUAAAUUAUAUAUGAAAAGAUAAUGUUAGUAUAGUUAAUUGAUUACUUUUUAUAUCCACCUGAACCAAACACUGAAUAAGGAAUGAUUUAUGCGAUUCCGAUUCAAGGUAUUAAACCAAAUCAGGGAAUAGUAAGAGCAAUUAACAAUUCCGAUUCCAGCUUUUGGAUUCCGAUUACGCGAUUGCCGACUCCGAUUUUCGAACGACAAACACUGCCCUAUUACCAUUGACUUUUACCAUUGACUAUUAUAUAUCUAUUAAUAGUCGGCUUAAAUUUUUAUAGUGAUAUCAAUAAAAAGGGGGGCGACGAUAUUGCCCAGGCCAUUCAUUGAAGAGGACAUGACCCUACAUAUUUUUGAAAUGCCCUCUAAAUAUUUUAUGCAAUACAUUUAUAUCAUCAUGCAUCACAAUGAAUAAUUAAAAAUAAAAAUAAAAAUAAAAAUUAGAAUUAAAACUAAAAUUAAACUUUUAAUGUAAAUAAAAGUGCAAUCAAAUUUAAAUCUAAAUUUAAAUUGAAAUAAAUAAAACUAAUUCAACAUCUAAUUUGACAAGUAACAUUAGUGAAUUCUUAAUUGGAUUCAAUUGAAUUUUCAAAUUCGAAUUACAUUUGAGUGCAGCUAAGAUCAAAGUUUAAAUGAAAAUUGACCAAAUAAUGUAAGCUGAAAUGCAGCUAUUGCGUUACAAGUGCCUGGUAAUGCUUGAUAAGGAUAGUAAAGCGCGCUUCGACAGGUCACCCGUUGUUAGAUAUUAUGAAACGUAGCCUUGUCCACCCAACCGCCUGCACCCAUAGUCCGUAGUUUAAUAAUACAACAGCACAAUCGAGAACUUCUUUCUCCGAAAGAGAUACUAAUCCCUGCUUUGACUUGUAGAUCUCUUUCACUGUCGCAUAUUGCACUGAAGCCUGCAAAACCUAUGCAGAACAAAGUUUUACGUAGCAUAACUAACUAGAGACAAAGUUAUAUAAUGAUAUACGCAUGAACUAAGGAAACAUUCAAACUAACAUAAUUAACGUUAUUUGCAAGUACAGAGCGCUUUUAACUUGUUUAAGAUUUUGAGUGUUAUAAAAUUGUCACCUAAAAGAUAUUGGCGGUUUGAACUCUCAUACACGACAUGUUUCAAAAUUUAGAAAAUUAACUAGUAGAGGAAAAAGUACAGACUAGAGGAUCACAUUUCGGAAAUUCUGAAGAUGAUUUUUCGGCCAAUCCAGAUUCGCAGCACACAUUAGAACAAAAUAAUGAUUUGAACACUCUAACAAGAUAUAGCAGUGUUGCGCACUUUAAUAUGCACAAACAUAACUAUACGAAGUAUGUUGUAUACAUUAAAUUUACUAUGUCCAAAUAAUAGGUUAAAGAUGGAAUACGAAUGAGAUUGAUUUCUUUUUUUUCCGCUACAACUCAGUUAGGUUUUGUUCUUUUACAGUGGCGUCCGACCGCAAACAUACAUCAUACCGAUUAUAUACUCAGAUCCAAUUUUAUUCGAACCAGAUAAUAUAGAAUUUGUAAUGCACUAUAGUCCUAAAACCUUAAUUAGUUAGGCUAAAUAAGAAAAAUCCUCUUGUUAACCAUCUGUUUUCACUUCCUCCAUGCUGCAUUUAAAAAUCUAUAACCUUGCGCCCCCCUAAAAAUAAAAAAUAUUCAUAUUCGGUUCCUGCCGUCAGUUUCUAGUUGAGGUUCCAUUUCAUAUCUUAUUUUUGUAAUUCAAAAUAUUUCUGAAUUCUCAUCUACUAUCCACACACCAUGACCGCCUCGCUCUGCCCACUCCCCUUCAUAGCGUAGAUGCAUCCACGCCUGCUCUCUGCCGCCUGGAAUGACAAGAUUGGGGAACAGAAAUAAAGAAAAGUAGGAACAUUUGUUCAUCUUUAUCACACCAAUAUCAUUCUAUAAAUACGUUUUUAUUUUUCGAUAAAAAAAGCAAAGUAUCAUGAUUUUUUUUUAAAAAAAACAAGAAAAACGGCUUUGCUAAAGGUUUCAUAUAAUAGCCAUUUAAUUAAUGCGAGCAACAUUCGCAAACUGAAAAAUGCUAGAAUGCACGGUUAUAAUUAGUGACCGUACGCGGCAUAACAAACCAAUUACAUUAAUCCUUUUAAAAAUAUAUGUCCGCAUCAUGAAUGUAAAGAGUAUUUAUUGUACUUUAUUUUGAAAAGAUGAUAUGAUUGGCUUUUAUGAGACGUGGUGCAAAUGUGACAGUGAGAUUCCUCUUCCAAACAUAAGGCACGCCCUCAGCUCAAACAUUCCAAACUAGGUCCAAACGUUCUUCUUUUUUUAAAAAAAAGUUGAGUUUUGUUUUUAUUUUUUUGAUAAUUAGAUUAAAAUAUUAUAAGAUUUUUAUCAGAUUUUCCUGUGAUCCAUCAAAUUUAAACAGUUGACCAUUCUGCAUUGAACUUAAUAAUUACUAAAAUUCAAGAUAUAUUUAUCAAAUAUAUCAAAUAAAAAUUCAUAUAUUUACAUAGGCGAAGGUACGUAGGACGUAAUGCAUCCCAAAUGGAUUAACCAAGUUCAUCGCAUCGAAACCAAAACGCAUACUUAACAAAAAACGCGUCUUUUAUUUAGUAACUGCCAAAGAUGAAGAACCAUUUCGGUCAGAGAACACCUAAUAUUUUUAAGUAAGAUUCAAAAAACCUCCAUGUGAAUUCGUAGUUUCUCACUGUUGCCUCCCUGUGUUUAAAAUGUAUCAAUUGCUCCCCCGUGUUCUUUUUCUCUUUUUUAUCAUUGCAUUUAUUUUUUAUCUUAAUCAGUCUAAAGUUAAAAUAAAAGUAUAAAAUAAAUAUUUGAUAACUCUAGAUGGAUAUCUGAAGUUUUGUAUAUAAUUUGAUGAAAUAUUAAGAAAAACUACCAAAAAAUAAAAAUGAAACCACAGGGGGCAAUAUUGAUACAUUUUACACCACAGGGAGGUAAGUGAAAAACUACGAAACCAUAGAAGGGAGUUUUUGAAGUUUUUCUUUUAAAAAAAAAAAAUUAUUUAAAUAGACUAAUUUUUUUAAAAAAAUAUUAUUUAUUUAUGUAAUUCAAUGACUAUAAUUGUAAUAGAAUAAAUUUUCUCAUUUAUUGAAUAUUUUUUUAAAAAAAAUUUUUUUUUAUUGUAAAUUUUUGAUCCGUCUGCUGAUCUCCAUCUAUUAUGGUCAGAAUUGAGAGAAAGCUAGAUACACAAGCCAUUGCAUAAGUUACAGAUAUGGUGUGGCUCAGUCGAGUAGGUUAACGGCAAACCCUUAUUUCCACCCAUAGUUGGCCGCACAUACACAAGUUGCAUUGCAUAAAGAGACCAUGUGAUCCAUUUAUAGUACUAACCAAGGCACACUAGUCCACAUAAAUGAAGGACACAUCAUUAUAGAUUUCAAACUUAACAUACUGAUAGAGACACACCGGAAACAAAACAGAAACCCACAAUGUCGAAACAAGCUAGCACUUGAUGCACGCAAAAUCCUUAUUUAUGUAAGAAACGCAAAUAAGUAGGCAAACUAGCAGGUCGAAAAAAUCAUUUGCUGUUCCGACUUAUUACGUAGCUUCAAUUUCAGAAACCCAUCUUAAUAACUUCGGCAUUAGCCCUGAUUGGAAGUAGGAAUAGAGGAGACAUGCGAUUCCACAUACUCCAGAAGACGAUACACAACUCUGCCCAUAACGACGUAUCCACUUCUCCCCCCAUGACUGCCCCCACGAGUCCUUACUAUCUAAUAUUUUUAGUUCCACGGCUAUCAUGCCCGUACCUAUAAUGGUAAUGGCAUGAUUAGAGACUAGUUCACACAGGUCCGGCGCUAAACACAACCCCAUUGUAAAUUGAAAGUUUCACUGGCAUCGAUAAGAGCACUAUGUUGAUUCGACACAGCGCGUACAUAUGCUGCGUCAAUCGUUCCUUCGCACAUAUGAAUAACCAGUAAUGUAAGCUGAAUUAGAACAGCUAUUGGCGUUUGGCAAGUGCCAUUGAGCUAUGCUUGAUAAGGAUAGUUUUUCGUGGUCACACCGUUGUUUAUGAUAUGAUGAAAUCGAGGCCUUGUUCACGAAACCUAGCCGCCUUUGCAACCGCUACUACAGCACAUCGAGGAACUUCUUGCUUCCGAUAAAGAUACUAAGUUACCCCUGUUUUAUCUGUAGAUUCCCUCACCGUCGCAAUUGCACGAAUGACCAGCAAGAACCUAUGCCAAACAAAAGAUACGCGUUAGCAUAACGACGAAGCAAAGUUAUAUCUGAGAUGCAAUGAUAUAACGAAUAUCCUCACAACUCAACAAUAAUAUAAAUGUUUUUGGCAAUACAGACUGCUUUUAACUUUAUUUCAAACGGUUUGUCAAGGCAUAUGGAGUCCUGUUCUUUUUGACUACAACGACUUUGGCUUACUUUAUAUAACUGAUUAUGGCAUAACUCAAUUAAUAGUAAGAGAACUCAGCAAAUAGAGCUAAUUGCAAAUAGAUUGAAUCAAGUCGAAGCCUGUGAACAUUGUCCUUGAAUCCUUAAAUGCGAUGGAUGUGUCCUUUUUAUCACCAUGUAUGUAUUUUUGGAUAGUUAAUUAACACUUAUAUAUACAUUUGAUGGCUAAGUUGAUUUUUUAUUAACUAGAUUCAAUACUUCAUUUCUUUGUACAUUGAUAAUGUGUGAUUAUACAUGUUUAGACACUUUUAAUCAGCCAAAGUAAUGGAAUUAUUGAGUUUUAGUGGGCGGAAAUUUGGUCCUUUUGUCCAGAAAAGGCAGAAGGCAUUCGGUAGCAAGCAUAUUUGAUCUAAGCAACAUGUUAGCAGCAUCUUAUAAAGUUAACUAAGAAUAAUUUUUUUUUCUUUUUUCUAGUUGAAGAAAUGAAGUUGCAUUGACAAUUUAUAGUCUAAAUUAUUUCUUACCACAGGGGUUUUGAUUCUUGACCUCGUUUACGGCACCAUAGUCUCUCCAAUCAAUACUUUGAGGCACCGCGGAGAUGUUUACGUCAUCAAAUGACACCACUGGCUCUCUCUCGAUAUUUAGUGGGAGAGAUACGCCGGUAUAUUGAGCAACAAAUUCGCUUUUUGUCAUAUCGGUAAACUGAUUGAUACCGAGAGUGUACGAAUUUCCGUUGCGACUGUUAAAGGUUUCGAUAUGCUUCACGUUGUUCUUGAAUAUCUGAAACCGGCGCAUCUUCUCGUCGUUGUCCUUGUAAACUCGGCCAUACUCCGCCAUCCAUUCUUCAAACCGCUUCAUCAUGGGAUCACUGGGUUCGUCACGAGAAGCUGCCGAUGGCGAAGCCCACAUCACACAGAGAAACAUGAAAAGAAACACGAGUUGAACUUUGGAAGCCAUGCUUAUGUAGCACUAAAUAUGUAUGAGGAAAUUGGAGAUGGAGCUACAAGAGCUUUUGGUGCUGAGAGUAUGGUGUCAAGAUCGAGUUUAUAUAGAAGUUCAUGCCUUGGAAUGUAGGUGCGAGAAUUAUUGUGUGGGGGCCUACAAGAUGUCACAAAUCGCCAUCAAAUUAAGAUUAAAUAGUUCUGGACCGCUUGCGGCACCACGUCAUGUGGUCACUAGUGUAGUGAUUUGCUUAUUACGUCGGGCAAAUACUAUUGACAUAAAAAUUGGUACAAAAUAAAAUAUCAGUUUAGUAUGAAAAAAUAGUAAAUAUAGUUUAUAUUAUAAACAAACACUUCUAAACAAAAUAAAACUAAAAUGAAAAAAAAUUAAUCAUUCCAAUAAAAUUAUUCAAGCUUGUUAAAAAAAAUCGCAUAUCAUACAAAUGGAUGAUUAAAAUUAUUUUUAACUUGGGAUGUCUCCACCAGAUGGAUGCGAGGCAGAGACUCAUUGUCAGGAGCAGCAAGAGCACUUUUCGACUUAUGCUUUGUUGGAGCUUGUUGGGAACUUUGGAAGGAACGGAAUUCACGGAUCUUUUAGCAACCAACACUCGACGUACGACGAACUAGGAAGGAUUGUUGUUUCCAUCGUAAAGUUCUGGGAAUCUAUUUUGGGGUCCUAAUUGUGAAUCGUUUUGUUUGUUUUACCCUGUUAAUUAGUGGUCCUGUUCUGUUAAUUAGUGGUCCUGUUGUGCUUUCUGAAGUUAGCUCAAGGGGCCUUCUUAGGGAAAGCCAAGCUAGCUCUGCUAUCUUAAGAUGUAUUCUCUGUUUCAAAUAUAGUAUAUUCCUGUUUAAUCAAAAAAAAAAUAUUUUUAUAAUACAAUAAUCAGAUAAAAUAUCAUAUAACAGUUGAUAUGACUAAAAAAAACUCACAAUAACUGACCGUUCCUAGAGCAAGUGGCAAAGGGCUUGGUGAUUGGUACCCGAGGUCCCAAGUUCGAAUCCUAGUUGAUUCACAUUUCCAGCUAAGUUUAUUUCUAAAUGAAAUAAACGAAGCGGGUAGCAUGCUACCUAUCUAAAAAAAAAAAAAAAAAAAAAACUCACAAUUAUACGCAAGACAAAUACUAUAUAUAUAAACAUAUGUAAUUCGGUCUAUCGACAGACUAUUUUUUAGCGGAAAAAAAAAUGAUUCACUUCUUACUAAAAUAAAUAAUGUAAUGAAAAAAACUUUUAAUACUUUUUAUCAUCUAAAAUAGAAAAAAAUAUACUUAUUCAAAAUUUUGUCAACCGAAAGAUAUUACUAUAAAUCUAUAUUUUAAUUCAAAAUUAUUUAAUAUUUUUUUAUCUCUAAAAAUAAAAAAAUUCAUACUAUUCAAAUUUUUGCUACAAUAUCUAAUGUAAAUCUAUAUUUCAAUUCAAAAUUUAAAAUUAAUUUAAAAUUUAAAUUUAAAAUUUGAGAACUAUCAACAUAUUAAAAUAAUUUUAAAUAUUUUUUUUUCCAUAUUAUAGUGAACGAUUAUACUUAAUUACCAUUAGAAAAUAAAGAAGUUACCUUAAUUUAUAUGAUUUUACUCCAACCACUUUCAUCUACUAGCAUGCUCCAGUUCCCAAAUGUGUCUAAAUUAGAAGACAAUCCAAAUAUGAAAGCGACGAUUAGAAGUUGACAACUAAAGUUAAUUUAAUCGUUAAACUUCAAUUUACUCUCCGCUGAUUUUAGCUUAUUUUUUUAAAAUUUGAUUUUUACUGUAGUUCAAAAUUGCCUUAAUUAUCAUAUAAUUUUAUUUUUAUUUUACCGAUAGAAUUUGACAUAAGUUAGCAAAGUAAAUUUUUUUUAAAAAAAAUCAUAAAGUGAUAUCUGCUUACCAAUAAAUUCUUACAAUAAAAUAAAAAUAAUAUUAGUAAAAUAGUUAAGUAUGUAUAACUUUUCAAACCACGUAAAAAGUGAAUUAAAAAAUAUUAAACAACAGUAAAAAAAUUAAAAUUACUCGAUCCCAAUUCAUUCAUUUUCUUCAUCCAAAGAUUCUACAAUCUCAUUCUCUCAACGACAUUCGAGUGCAAAUUAAACAUAUACAUGUUACACCAAAAGUCAAAUCAGGCAUUAUAAUUUUUUUAAUAUAUAAAUUUUUAAAACUUUAUAAAAUUAUAUCAAAUAAAUUAAAUUUUAAUUUCAAAUUUUUUAGAGGAAAAGAUAAUUAGUUACACAUUUUGUUCAUUUUGAGAUUUUUUUUUUCCCCAAGUAAAACCUAAUAAGUGAUGUAGUGCCGGCAUGCAUAUGCUGAUCCUUGAAAAUUUUUAAGUAUCGUUUGGUUUGGAAAUAAGCAAAAAGUGGUUAUUCCAGGAAUAGGUAUAAAUUGAGGUAUAAGUAGGGGUUAUAUCAAUUUUGAGUUUGGAUGAAAAUUAGAUUUUUUUUUUUUUAGAAUAAAAAAAAAGUAUUUGGUUAGGUAAGAUGUAAUAAAAAUUUAAAUGGAUAGUUAUAAAUAAAAAAUAAUGAUGUUAUCAUUUUCUUUAUAUUAAAAUUUGAAAUUUGAAAUUUUAUAUUUAUAUUUUAGAAUAAAUAUAAACUUUUAAAUUUUAAAAUUUCAAAAUCUCAAAUUUACAAUUUUAAAAAUUUAAAAUUUAAAUUUUAAACUUUAAAAUUAAAAUGAAAUUUUAAUUUAAAAAUACAAAAUAUCAAAUUCUAAAUAUAAAAAAUUUAAAAUAUCAAAUUUUAAAAGUUAAAAUUAAACAUGAAUUUUUUUGUGUUUGGGGGAGCACGACGAGGGGGGACAGAGGAGCGAAGCGGAGGGGCGGGGGGUGAGGUGGUGGGUGUAUCUGCGUGUGUUGUGUUUUUAUAUAUGUAGGUGUAUUUUUUUGAUUUGGUUUAUUUAAAUUGUUGCAAUUAUUUUUUAAGUUACGCCUAUGGAUAACAAUACUGCGCCAAUUUAAAAAAAUUCUUUAAUUUGAUGGUCUGGCAGUAUGUCACAUUCUCGAUUGUUCGUAGCGUGUGCUUAUCAAUAUAACGACUACAUUUUAAGGACUAUCGUCUUAGGGUAUAACGGUGAGAAUAUCUCACAACUCAACGAGNNNNNNNNNNNNNNNNNNNNNNNNNCAGACUUUAUCAAAUUUAAUUUUAAUUUAAAAAUUUUAAACUAUUUAUGUGAUGUAUGCGGAUGAUGAAAAUAUUGAUAAAUAUCUAGAGGCAUUUUCAAGAAUUUGAAUAUCAACUAUAUAAAAUUUAUGAGACUCAAGUGAUAUAUAACAGGCAAUGGUAGAAUAAGUAUUUUGUAACUAUCACGAUUAUUUUGGAUUGAGACUAAUCGUUUAACGUGAGCCUUAAUUGACGGUAUAAAUAAUUUAUGAGAUUUUUCUUAUCACUCCUCCUCCUCCGUAUGCGCAACACGUGCUCCGGUAAUAAUUCCAAUACACAACACAUCCUGCAGUAACUCUUGUUACGGAGUGAAGGUUUGUCCGCCCCCUCAUUCUGAUUGCAUCUGUCAACGAAAAGGACGAACAAAUGCUUUCUAAUAAUAUAGGUACCUGCCGUUAUCUGUCCUAAAUAAAGGUUUUAUAGCUUUGCUUGCGAAAAUGUUUACUAUAUCAUACUUACAUCGCAUCACAAUAAUAAAUAUAUUAUAUAAUUUUUAAUAUAUAAUAAAAUUUUUUUAUAUUAUUAUAAUAAAUAAAUUUAAAAAAUUCUUAAUUUGAUUGUGGAGAUGUCACUUAUCAAUAUAACGGAUACAUUUAAGACUAUGUUCGGUUAGGGGAUAAGGUGGAAUUUAUUCACCCUCAUCCCCAAACACAAAAAAAUUCUUUUAAUUUUACUUUAAAAUUUGAUAUUUUAAUUUUUAUAUUUAGAAUUUGAUAUUUGUAUUUUAAUUAAAAUUUCAUUUUAAUUUUAAAGUUUAAAAAUUUAAAUUUUAAAUUUUAAAUUGUAAAUUUGAGAUUUUGAAAUUUUAAAAUUUAAAAGUUUAUAUUUAUUCUAAAUAUAAAUAUAAAAUUCAAAUUUCAAUUUAAUAUAAAGAAAAUGAUAACAUCAUUAUUUUAUUAUACUAUACCAUUUAAUUUUAUUACAUCAUACUAACCAAUACUUUUUUUUUAUUCUAAAAAAAAAAAAAUCUAAUUUUUCAUGCAAACCAAAAUAUGAUAUACCCCUUACUUAUACCUCAAUUAUAGCUAUUCUCUGGAAUAACAUUUUGAUUAUUUCCAAAGCAAACGAUACUAAAAAUUUUCAAGAUCAGCAUAAUGCAUGCCGCACUACACUUAUUAGUUUACUUUGGGGAAAAAAAAAAUCUCAAAAUGAACAAAAAUUUAACUAAUUAUUUUCCUAAAAAUUAUGAAAUUAAAAUUUAAUUUUAUUUGAUAUAAUUUAUACCAGUUUAAAAAUUAUAUAUUUAAAAAAUUAUAAUGCCUGAUUUGACUUUGGUGUAACAUGUAUAGUUGUAUAAUUUGCACUCGAAAUGUCGUUGAGAGAAUGAGAUGUAAAUCUUUGGAUAAGAAAAGAAAUGAUUGGAUCGGUUAAUUUAAUUUUUACUGUUGUUUAAUAUUUUUAAAUUCAUUUUACGUGUUGAAAAGAUAUACAACUUAACAUAUUACUAAUAUUAUUUUUAUUUUUAUGUAGGAAUUAUUGUUAAGCAUGCUACACUUAUGAUUUUUUUUAAAAAAAUUACUUUCUAACUUAUGUAAUUCUAUGGGUAAAAUAAAAAUAAAAAUUAUAUAAUUAAGUGCAAACUUUCGAACUGCAGAAAAAACAAGGAACAAUCUACUAAAUCAGGGAGAGUAAAUUGAAGUUAACGAUAAAUAACUUUAGUUGCUAACUUCUAACUCGGCUUUCAUAUUUUUGGAUUUGUCUUCUAAUUUAGACACAUUGGGGAACUGCGAGCAAUGCUAGUAGAUGAAAGUGGUUGGAGUAAAAUCAUAUAAAUUAAGGUACAACUUCUUUAUUCUAAUGGAUAUAAGUAUCGUUCACUAAUAUGGAAAAAAAAUAAUUUUAAAUAUUUUAAUAUGUUGAUAGUCCAAAAUUUAAAUUUAAUGUUAAUUUUAAAGUUUUGAAUGGAAAAUAUAGAUUUACAUUAGAUAUUGUAAAAAACAUUUGAAUAAGUAUGAAUUUUUUUAUUUUAUAGAUAAAAAAUAUAAUAUUUGAUUAAAAAUAGAUAUUAUAGUCAAUAUCAAUUCGGUUGACAAAAUUUGAGAUAAGUAUAUUUUUUCUAUUAAGAUAAAAAGAUAUAUAAAAGUUUGUUUCAUUUACAUUAUUCAUUUACGUAAGGAAGUAAAUCAUUUUUUUUCCUGUAAAAAAUACGGUCUGUGAUAAAUUAGAAAUAUGUUGUAUCUUGCGUAUAUAUAAUGUAGUUUUUUUUUUUUUUUUUUGAUAGGUAAGCAUGCUACCAUCGCUCGUUAUUCAUUAGAAAUAAACUUAGCGGAAAUGUGAAUCAACUAGUCGAACUUGGGACCUCGGUACAAUCAUCCCAAGCCCUUUGCCACUUGCUCUAGGAACGGUCAUUAUUGUGAGUUUCUUUUAGUCAUAUCAACUGUUAUAUACUAUAUUUUAUCUGAUUAUUGUAUUAUAAAAAUAUUUUUUUUUGAUUAAAACAGGAAUAUAUAUAUUUGAAACAGAGAUACAUCUUAAGAUAGCAGAGCUAGCCUUGCUUCCCUAAGAAGUCCCUUGGACUAACUUCAAGACAACAUGACCACUAAUUUAUAUUAAUCGAACAGGACCACAUUAACAGGGUAAAACAAACAAAAACGAUUCACAAAUUAGGACCCAAAAUAGAAUUCCCAGAACUUAGAUGAAACAAACAAUCUUCCUGAUUCGUCGUAGCGAUGUUGUUUCUAAAGAUCUUAUUCCGUCUCAAAGUUCCCAAACAAGCUCCAACAAGAGCAUAAGUCGAAAAGUCGCAUCUUCUGCCCUGACAAUGAGUUCUCUGCUCGAUCCAUCUUGUGGUAGACAUACUCAGUUAAAUAAUUUUAAAUCAUCCAUUUGUGAAUCGAAGCGAUUUUAAUCAAUUUAAAUUUUAUUGGACAUAUAUUUUUUUCAUUUGUUUUAUUUGUUUAGUAAGGUUUGUUUAUAAAUUAAAUAUAUUACUAUUUUUUCAUACUAAAAACUGAUAUUUAUUUUUACAAUUUUUAAUGUCAAUAUAAUUGCCCGACGUAAUAAAGCAAAUCACUACACUAGUGACCACAUGCGUCGGGUGCCGCAAGCGGUCCAAACUGAUUUAACUAAGUUUUGAUGCGAUUGGUGACAUCUUGGUAGCCCCACACAAUAAUUCUCGCACCUACUUCCAAGGCCAUGAUACUUCUAUAGUAAACUCGAUCUGACACAUACUCUCAGCACCAAAAGUCUUGUAGCUCCAUCUCAAUGUUCACCAAUACAUAUUAGUUGCUACAUAAGCAUUGGCUCUCCAAAGUUCAACUCGUUGUUCUUUUCAUGUUUCUCUGUGUGAUUGGGCUUCGCCAUUUUCGUCAGCUCUCGGACUGAACCCUAGUUGUAUUCUCCAUAUGAUUGUAACGGUUAUAAUUUGAGAUAUGGAUGGCGAGUAUUGGCGAGUUUACAAGGACAACGACGAGAAGAUUGCUCGCGUUUCAGAUAUUUCAGUAACAAGCGUGGAAGCAUUAUCGAAACCUUUACACAAGUUCGCAACAGGAAUUCGGUACACUCUCGGUUCAAUCAGUUUACCGAUAUGACAAUAAAGCGAACUUUGUUGCUCAAAUAUUAACUGGCUAUCUCUCCCACUAAAUAUGAGAGGAGAGCUAGUUGUGUCAUUUGAUGGACGUAACACAUCUCCGCGGGUGCCUCAAAGUAAUUUGAUUGAGAGAGACUAUUGGUGCCUAAACGAGGUCAAGAAUCAAAACCCCUGCUGGUAAGAAAUAAUUUAGACUAAUAAUUUCUGCAACUUCAUUUCUUAACAGAAAAAAGAAAAAAAAUUAUUCUUAGUAACUGUUAUAAGAUCUGCUAACAUGUUGCUUAGUUUUUUAUUCUUCCCGAAUGGCCCCUUCUGCUUUCUGGACAAAAGGACCAAAUCCGCCCACUAAUUUUCUGCUGAUAAAAGUUCUAAACAGUAUAAUCAUUUUUAUUUCAAUGUACAAAGAAAUGAAGUAUUGAAUCUAGUUAAUAAAAAUCAUCUUAAGCCAUCAAAUGUUAUAUAAGGUAAUUCACUAUCCAAAAAAUACAUUUUGGUGAUACAAAAGGACACUUUUUAUCCAUCGCUUUUAAGUGAUUCAAGACAUAUGUCCUACUUCGACUUGAUCAAUCUAUUUGCAAAUUAGCUUAUGCUGUGUUUUUUACUAUUAAUUAAAGUUAUCAUUUAAUCAUACCUACUAAAGUAAGCAAAGUACGUGUUAGUUCAAAAAACAGGACAUCAAUGCUGAAACCGUUUGAAAACAUUUUUUAUAUCAAGCAGCUCUGUACUAAAUUUUAAUUAUGUUAGUUAUUUUAUAUUCAUAGCAACUCAGAUAUAACUUUGCUACUUUUUUUACGCGUAUCUUUGUUUUAGGCAUAGGUUCUGCUGGGUCAUCGCUGCAAUUGCGACGGUCGCGAUUGGGAUAUUCUACAAGAAAAACAGGUAUUAGUAUCUUUAUCGGAGCAAGAAGUCUCGAUUGUGCUGUUUUUAUUUUGGCGUGUGGUAUACUAUGCUUAGCUGUGUAUUCAUAGUUCUGAAUCAUCUUUCACAGAUCUGAAUUUAAAUUUUAAAUUUGAAUUCAAAUUUUGAACUUAAAAUUGUAAGUCAAUUUUAAAUCUAAAUUAAAUUUGAAAUUCAAAUUCAAAUUUAUAUUUUGAAUUUGAAUUUCAAAAUAAAACUUUGAAAUUAAAUAUAAAACUAAUUAAAAAUCUAAAUUCACUACAUGCAAGAUAAUUAAAUUAUGGGGACAUAUGUUUGGAAUAUUUUUAUAUAAGUGCCCUAUUUAUGUCAAAACUUUAAAAAUAAUCUAUUAAUGCCUAAAUAUAAAGCCCAAUCCAUUCUCCGGUAAACUAAGAUUAUCGGACCAAUUUUCAUAUUGUAAUGAAUCGAUUGUAACCUAAUUCUUAUAGUCCAUUAAAAAAUAAAAAAGUGAAUAUUUAAAUGAUUUUACAGUAGUUCUUAAGUUAGAAGACGACCCAAAAUAUGCAAUGGCGGAGUUCGGAGCUGGUAACUAAAGUUAAUUUAAUAUGUUAACUUCAAUUUACCCCGUGAUUAAGUAGAUUUUUUCCCUUUUUCCUCCGAUGCUUCAAAAAUUCGCCGACAGAACCCAACGUCAGUUACCAAAGUGAAUUUUUUUAAAAAACUUAUAGCAUACUAUGCUCUUUAACAAUAAAUUCUUACAAUAAAAUAAAAAUAAAAUUAUAGAAUACUGAAGUAUAACUCUUUAAGCCAUUGAAUGACAAAAAAAAUAUAUAUAUAUAUAUAUUAAACCACAAUGAGAAAAAUUGAAAAUUAUCCUACUUUUUAGUUCAUCAUACUAACUCCAUACCUACAAGCUCAUGUAUUACACCAAAAAUCAAACCAUCAUGUAUUAUAUAUUUUUUUAAUAUAAAAAUCUUUUAAACUCUAUAAAAUUAUAUUACAUUAAAUUAAAUUUUAAUUUAAAAUUUUUGGGAGGAAAAGAUGCAGUUUUCAGUUUCGUUCAUUUUACGAUUUUCUUCUCUUUUUUUCCUUUUUGAAGUAAAACGUAGAGACUUGGUGUAUCCUAAUGUUCAUGCGAUGAAAUCAUUAAUUUCUCUCUUGUCCAUUAAUUUUUUGAGAGAAAGGUACCUGCUUUAUUCAUUAAAGAAAAAAUUAAACUACACGAUUAAGAUAAAGGAAUCUCCGAAGUAGACCGAAAAAAUGAAAAAAAAAAUAAUUAAAUUUACAAAAACAUAUAACAAAAAAAAAUUUAAAAAAAAGGAUAUGCUCGUUUAAACACUCUAUUCUUCUCCCACUGAAGCAUCAAACAUCUGAUCGAUUUGACAGCUAGUAAAGAAUUAGUAUUAGCCAAUCUAUAAAUAACGGUGUUUCUUACUGUUCAGAUAACUCACCAAUUUUUUUUUUUGAAAAAGAUAACUCACCAAUUGACUGUGAGUUUUGUAAAUCUGUUUCUAACAUUCUGAGCACUAUCCCUUCCCAUGCUUCCACUUAUCCCAUACUAACCUCUCUUGUCCUUUGCUGGAUCGGAAAGUUGCAAUCAAGUUUGUCCGUUUCUCUCCCUGUUGGAGAGCAGUCAGAUUUUUUUUUUUUGGUGCACCCGGUGCACUAGUUUUGUUUUAAAAUUUUAUUUUUUGUUUUUUAAUUAUAAUUUAAUAAUAUAUCUCAUGAUUUUAAAAAUAUAUGUAAAAUAAUUUAGAAUUUAGGAUUUAAAAUUCUUUUGCAUAUAUUUUUUAAAUAUCAUAAAAUAUAUAUCUGUUAUAUGAAAUUAAAAUUAAGAUUAAAAUUAAAAUUUUAAAGUAAAAAAUGAUGCACCGGUGCACCGAAAAAAACCCGCUGUGUCCCGAGAGGCAGAGCAGUCGGGACGGUGGCCCGCGUGGCUCGGGUGCCAUGCGGCGCCCAUCCAGUGUCCUCAAAAAAAAAGGAGAAUUAAUGGGUGGAGCCCAACAAGUUGGUACAAAUCGCCAUUAAAUUAAGAUUAAAUAGUUCGGGACCGCUUGCGACACCAUGUCAUGUGGUUAUGAGCUAAUCACAAAAAUAUUUAAGUUUCUCUACUUGUCUCAUAUUUAAAUUUUAUAAUUUUUUUUAUAGGACAUACAAUAACGAAAUAGAUCUGGACCCUGUUAAAGAUAAAAAUAUAUAAACAUUAUUCUCUAAAAGUUUAAGCUUUUAGUAUCGUUUGGUUCGAGGAUAAGCAAAAAGUGACUAUUCCAGGGAUAGGUAUAAAUUGAGGUAUAAGCGGGGAUUAGAUCAAUUUUGCGUUUGGAUGAAAAUUGGAUUAUUUCUGAAAAUAAAUAUAAAUAAUAUGUAUUAAUAUAGUACAAUUAAUAAUUUUAUAAUAAAAAUAAUGUAUUAUAAUAUAUAACAUAUUAUAUUUAUAUAAUUAGUUUUAAUUCAAUUUAUAAUUUUAAUUAAAUUUGAAAUUAAGCAUUAGAAUAGUGCUAUUCCACCAAAAUGGUGGAAUAGCAAAUCCCUUGCUAUUCCGGAAUAACCGGAAAUAGCAAGGUUUGACCGGGAUAAAAUAUCCCGGCCAAAUUUCAUCCCAUUUGGCGGAAUAGCGGGGAUAACUUUUGUUAUCCCCGCUUAUCCCCCAACCAAACGGGGCCUUAAGGAAUUCACAUUGUGAUUGUUUGAUUGAUGGAUGGCCAUUACAUUGAAAUUGGUCUAUGCACUCUGUUUGGUUAAAACUAUUUGAGUAGUUCUCAUCAAGAAUCCCUACACAUUUUUUUUAUUAUAUUCAUUUCCUACUUUUAUUCUAUCUCUCCACACACACACACACACACACACACACACACACACCCCCUUCCCACCACCCCCUCCAAAUUUGGCUGAUAUUAAUGAAAAGGAAUUAUAACUAGUUGAGAGGAGAUUUUCGGCACUUUAGAAAAUAAGUGUGUAUGUUUGCUCUACCGUGUUAAUUUACUGAAAUUACUGUCAUUGUACAGGGUUAUGUGUAAUUCCAGUUGUAAGAACCUUUAGAACACAUCAACUUGUGUCAUACGUUGUUACGCCUUUUUGACAAAACGUAGGAAUAUUAUUUGAGUAGAGGUAUUUGAAGAAGUUGCAAGAUGUGUUUGUUUAGAGUAUUGUAGUUCCAUGGAUAGGAAAUAAGGAUAGUUUAUCCACUAUAAGAGGGCAAAGGGAAUUAUCUAGGCUAAUGGUUCCUUAUGAGAGUAGCAUAACUCCAUUCUAGCGUACAGUUUGAUAUCUCCUACUUAGUUCUAGUUGGGAAUUUAUCAAACUCAAAAGUACUUAACAGGAUAGCAGGGAUAUUGCCAUUAUCUUUCCAACUUGCAAAUGCUGAAUGUAAAUAUACUUGGCAUGGAGUUGAACAAAAAAACUUUUAAGUUAGACCAGCUUUUUAGGGAGCUCUUUUAGUCUUCGCACUAUGCUAGGAGCUCUAGAUUUUUUUUCUGUUUGCUAAACGUCUGACUUUUGCUUCUUGAGUAGAAUAACUUUUUUAGAAGUCAAACCAAUUAGGUAGUAUAUACUUUUGCAUAUGCUAACAAAAGUAUGUAUUCGAAAAAUAUUUGCUGAGCUAACCUGUGACAUUAGGAUGCUAGCACAAGUAUCACUGCUGUAUAUGCUGNCUAAUUCCUACUUAAUUACCAUUAGAAAAUAAAGAAGUGUACCUUAAUUUAUAUGAUUUUACUCCAACCACUUUUCAUCUACUAGCAUGCUCCAGUUCCCAAAUGUGUCCUGAAUUAGAAGACAAUCCAAAAUAUGAAGAGCCCGAGUUCGUUUCUUCAAAAAAUUUUCGGAAUUUUUGUAGAUUUAUUUGCGAAUUUUUCGGACAAAAAAAAUGGCUUAAUCUAAUUUAUUCUUUUUAUUUUUUUGGAAAAAUACGUAAACAGCCGAUUAAUUCGUUUCUUCAAAAAUUCGCGAAUUAUUCGCGAAUUUACUAUCUAAGCCUAUCGCUCUCAAAAACAAAAGAAAAAAAAAGAAUUUUUAUCAGAGCAUGUGUUGCACAACGGGCGGAGGAGUGAUAAGAAAAAUCUCAUAAAUUAUUAAUACUGAUAGUUACAAAUAUCUUUAUUAAAUUAUUAUAAAUAUUACAAAUAUCUUUAUUAAAGCGAUUAGUCUCUAUCCAAAAUAAUCGUGAUAGUUACAAAAUACUUAUUUUAUUAUUGCCUAUUAUAUAUCAUUUGUGUCGCUUAAAUAUUCUAUAGCUGAUAUUCAAAAUUUUUCAAAAAUGCCCUCUAGAUAUUUUAUCAAUAAUUUUCAUCAUCACGCAUACAUCACAUAAAUAAUUUAAAUUUUAAAAUUUAAAAUUAAAAGUAAAAAUUUAAAUUUAAAUUUAAAAUUUGAUAAAGAUCUGAAUUCAAAUUUUAAAUUGAAUUCAAAUUUUGAACUUAAAAUUGCAAGUCAAUUUUAAAUAUAAAUUUAAAUUUGAAAUUCAAAUUCAAAUUUAUAUUUUGAAUUUGAAUUUCAAAAUAAAACUUUGAAAUUAAAAAUAAAACUAAUUCAAAAUCUAGAUUGAAAGUAAAAUUAGUAUAAAAUCUUAAUUCGAUUUCAAUUGAAUUUGAAUUAUAUUCGAAUCCAAAAUCAAAAUUUAAAUUUUAAAUUUAUAAUUAAAAUUAGAUUAAAUUAAUAUUACAAUUCAAUAUUAUAAUGUAAAUUUGAGUGAGUCUAAGAUCGCAGUUUAAAUUGAAAAUUGAAUUAAAAAAUUCUAAUUAUAAAUUUUGGAAAUAUUUAGAGAUAAAAUGAUAUUUUAAAAUUUAAGUAGCAUUAAACUAGCUUCCAACUAAGAUUAGGAUAACACUCCGUGACGUGAGUUUACAUAAGAAAUAUUUAUGAUAUAACUCAUUCUAUUGGAAGAGCGUAUAUGAUAUUUUAAUAUUUUUAGAGGUGCCUGUGAUAGUUUAAGAUUUUGAAAAAUAGUUAUGAAACUGUCCCUGCAUUUCAAAAUUUGGAAAACUGAUCUCCCUGACUUGCGGAUUUCAUGUAGUACAAUUUUUUGACGGUGUUCUUAAUGCAAGUAACAAAUUAUAAGCAACUUUAAAGGAAAAAAAGUUACAUAUUUUUAGGGAUCGUAUUUUGGAAAUUUGAGGAUGAGUUUUUAGUUGUCCAGGUUUCACGCUUUGAUAAAUAAUAUGAUCAGAAGAAUCAUAAAUGGCGAUAGCUUACGUUUACCUACUUUUAUUAGAUAUAUAGUUUAAUAUAUUCUUUUUCCGCAUAAAAUUACUAAUUAAAUAAAACCAAUUGAUGCUCAAACUCUCUCUUCCUAUGGAAUAAAAAUAAAACAUAAAAAAGGAUAAAUUACGCUUUUGGUCCUCAAACUAUAAGAUAUAUGACACUUUAGUCUUCAAACUUUAAUGUGUUAUAAUAACUUAUGGCUCAAAGUAUGAGACACGUGACACUUUAGUCCUUAAAUUUUAAUUAGUUGUAAUUUCUGACUUACACUAAAGUUAAUUAAUUUAUUUAUUUCUACGAAAUCGAUCGGUUUUGUUCAAUCAGUAAUUUUAUUCGAUGUUAAACUAUAUAACAAAUUUUAUAAUGUCUAAUUGUUAAAAUUAAAAAUCGACCAAUCAUAUUUUAAAUAUUAAAAAAAUUAUAGAUGCAAAAUUGAUCUUUGAUCGGAUUGUAAUAUAAUAUUAAACUUUUAUAAUAAAAUCGUAUAAAAUUUGUCUAAACUAUAAACCAUUCUGAAUCAUCUAUUCAACCUUUUAAAAUUUUAUUCUUAUUAUCGAACUAUUCGAUACGUUAGAUUUUAAAAUUUAUAUAUAAAAGGUUUAUAUAUUUUAAAUUUUAUAAUAAAAGCCCGCCACGCCUCUCUCCCCCGGCCCCGCCCCAGCGUCUGCGACGUGGCUCAUAAGAGACAAUUGAAAUUAUUUCGGGGACCAUCCGAGUUAUUUUGCAGCCAAGGUUGGACGUGGAUUAAUGCGGCGAUAACUCAAAUUACCAUUACCAUACUAUAAAUCCGAGCAAGAAAUGUAUGGAACCCCCUGAACUAUAUGCCACUAUGAAAUAGCGCCUUCAAUCUACUUUUGUUUUUUCCCAUUUCGUGUUGAGUGAUUUUGGUGACUCACAGUAAUUAUGAUAAUUUUAUCAUAUUUAAUUUAUUUAGUUUACAUACUACGUACAAUUGGCAGUUUGUGCAACAAUUAAUCUAUUCAGCUUAUUUUAUUCAGCUUGUUUUAUUAUACUAUAUAUGUUGAGUAUCACAACGAUGAUCUUCUAGCUUAUUUUCACGAAACUUUGCAUCGGAAUUUAAUAAUCGUUUUAAAUAUUUUUUAACUUCUUAGAUUACGGUGGUAUUAAAGUGCAUUACCAUAUAUUUUUUUUUUGAGAAAAAAAUUUUAUNCAUUCCGUGCGUCUGUGCUAGCAGUUCUUGGCAUGACUCCAUGCCACUCCAUAAAUCCUUGCUUUUGUUGUUUACAAGGCUAAACUUCAAAAUCGGCACUGUGGUAUAGUGCAUUUUCGCGUUGGUGCACUAUGGAUUCUUUUCUAUCACAUAGGUGCCCUGAGUUUGGUAUUGAAAUUAUUCCUCAAGGACCUUUUUUCUAGCCCUGUUGGUAUUUGUGUGUGUUUCCAGUUCAAAUCGUUGUUGGCUCGGUUUUUUUAAGUCUAAACUCAACCGAGAACCCGAAUGCAAGCCCAUCUUAUAAGGGGUUUCUGAUUAAGUUUGAAUCAGAACACGACCUAAGCCCUGACCUAACACGACCCAACCUGUUUAUAUAUAUAUAUAUAUAUAUAUAUAUAUAUAUAUAUAUAUAUAUAUAUAUUCCAGUCAAUCUAUUUCUAGCAUACUGAGCACUAAUCCCUUCCGAUGCAUCCACUUAUCCCAUGCCAACCUUUCUUGUCCUUUGUUGGAUCGGAGAGUUGCAAUCAAGAGUGGGACAACUUUUCACUCCGUCCGCAAGAGUUGUUGUCGCUGCGCUUGCACCUCAUUUAUUGUUGUUGUAUGAUUGAAAUUAUUUAGGGCAUGUGUGGCACAACAUGAAUAAGAAUAAGAGUUUAUGCACAUAAAUUUAUAUAUAUAUAUAUAUAUAUAUAGAGUCCGGCUACUAUACUCUUAUGAGUAUGAUUGUCCUCGUACUUAUAAGUUGUUUUCGAUGAUAGAGCUUCCGAAUCGACGAUCCAUACUGUUAAAUAUUAUUUAGAGCAUUUAAAACGUAUAGAAAUUAAAUUUUAUAAUUUUUCGAUAUCAUUUACCUUACAAUCAAAAGGUCACAAAAUUGACAAUUUUUAACGGCCGGUAUGAAAUAUUUGUUAGUUAAACAGUAUAAAAGAAUCAAAAUAAGUUGAUUUUUUGAUAGAAAAUUCUAUUCAGUAUAUAGAUAAAGAUCAAUAGCUCCGAUCUUAAAUUGAAGGAUCCGAUCAUAAAUUUUUAAGACGUCGUUCGAUUUUGACAAUUCAUUUUAUACCCGCUUGAUGAACUUUAUUAUGAUUUCAAAAAAUUACGAAAUUUAUUUUCUAGAAAUUUUAAUAAACUAUAUUUAACGGAAUGGAUCGUCGAUUUGGAAGCUACAUCAUUGAAAACAACUUAUGAGUAUGUACGAAGUGUUCUAUACUCAUAAGAGUAUAGUAGCCCUAACAUAUAUAUAUAUAUAUAUAUAUAUAUAUAUAUAUAUAUAUAUAUAUAUAUAUAUAUAAAACUAGGCUGGUAUACUAUCGGUAGCACGGAGGCUGAUAUAUAUAUAUAUAAAAUAGAGCUUCUACAUUUUUAAAAGUACCAAGUUAUUGGUACUUAUAUAUUUUUUGCCAUUGAAAUAAGAGAUAUACGGUUAGAAUGAUGUGGGACCAUUAAAAUUGAGUGGUGGUUGGUUCGGAUGAAAAUAAUCAAAUGUAUAGAUCUAAUAGUAAAAAAUUUACAAGUAUCAAGUGUUUGAUACUUUUAAUGUACCAUAUAUGCAGAUUUCUGAGACGGUAAAAAUUUUGCUUUUGUCUAAAUAAAUGAAAGAUGGAAUGGUUAAUUUGAUUUGAAAUUUUGUUUUUCUCCCGUUCAACUCGUUACGUUCUACUGGUUACAUUCUAUAUAUUUGUAGUGGCGUUGAACCACACCGUACAUGUGAGUAAUUAAGAUACAACCUUAUUUUCUAUAGAUAUCUGAGAUUUGGGUAAAUAGCUCUACAUGUCUCUAAACUUAAAUUAGUUUUUAAACUUGUAAAUUUGGUAUAUAUUUAAGACCGGACUGUUUGAAUUAUAUCAUUCUAGUCCUUAUUCUGAAUAAAAAAAAACAAAAAGCGGUAAACUAUAGUAAAACCUUCCAGUACUGCAUGUAUCAGUUAACACCCUCAAUUUAAUUUUAAAUAUGUUGAAUGGGGAAAUUAAUUGCACUACUAAUUAAUUUCCAAACUUCUAUUUUAGUCCUCAAUUUUUAAGUUUCACAAUAUUUGGGACUCAUUGAAUGUUUCAUUCUAGCACUUAGUUAAAAAACUAAAAAAUAAAAAAAUAUAAGAGAGAAAGAGAAAAGCUAAAUUUGUAGAAAACCUCGCCCCUUUCAUAUGUUAGAUUUUAUACUUUAUUUUCUUCAAAUUAUCAGGCCAAAUCAUUCUGUACCGACUAAGAUUUGAUAUUAGAACCACUCACCCAAUCAUAAAAUAAGAAGCGAAAAAAGCUCUAUUAUCGUGUUAAAGAACUAGAAUAUAAUCUAAAAACUCAAACGGAGUGGUAAAAAUAACCUUCACAUUAUGUAUACUAUUUUAUUUUUAUCUAAAAAGAAUCUAAACACAAGUACUCUAAUAAUAUAAUUUUGUAUUUUGUAUUUCAAUUAUAUGCACUUUCUCUAUAUAUUGACCCUCACAUUACCCCAUAGAUAUUCAAAACAAAUAAAUCUACAAAAAUAUUAUUUUUGAGACAUUUUCCUAUCAUAAUGUUGUACUAGUGUAGAGACCCGCGCGAUACAGCGGGUAGAUAAUAGAAUCAAAACUUAAAAAUUUUAAUAAAAUUUAUAUUUAUAGUUUAUUAAAUUCAACUAUUAAAAAAAUAAAAUUAUAGCUUAUAACCCACACAUUGAUAAAAUAUUAAUAUGAUGCAUGUAAUUAAAUGUUGCACUUUACAUGUAAUUAGAGAAGUGGAGAGGUGAAGAGUUGGACGUUGAGAAGAGAAAAUAAUUUGAUUUAAAAUUGGGCUAUGAGAAUAAAGAAUAACAUAUGGCAAAAAAAAAAUUUUUAUGGUACAUGCAAAAGAGUUACAAAAAAGAGGGCUGAGAGAUUAAUGGAGAAGAGAAGUUGAUUAAAGUUAUAAAUCUCACUCGAUGAUAGAAUAUUAAUAUGGUGCAUAUAAUUAAAUCUUGUUACUUACAUGUAAUUAGAGGAGUGGAAAGGUAAAGAAUUGGGCGUUGAGAAAAGGAGAAGAUGAUUUAAUUUAAAGUUGAGUUAUGAAAACGAAAGCUAACAUGCCACGUGGCAAAAAAAAAUACAAAACUGUAACUUCAUAAAGAUUUAUUUAUAGAUUUAUAGAUGUGCACGUGCGUGACUUUUCAAAUUGUGUUGGACCAUCCCAAUUAUUUUGCAAACAACGUAUUCAAUGCGGUGACAACUCAAAUUUAAUUAUUGGAGCAAGAAAAUGUAUGGAAACCCCUAAACUAUAAGCGACUUUGAAAUAGCUCCUUUAAUCUGGUUUAAUUCUAUCGACUGUUUCUAGAGCAAAUGGUCGGUAUCCGAGACUCAAGUUCGAAUUCUAGUUGAUUCACAUUUCUAGCUAAGUUUAUUUCAAAAUGAAAUAAACGAAGCGGGUAACAUGCUAUCUUUCUCUCAAAAAAAAAAAAAAAAAUCUGGUUUAAUUCUCCCUCGCUGCCAUAUUUUAUAUUAGCUUAUGGUGUUGAGUCAAUGCUUUGAGGUGUCGCUAAUAUGUUUGUAUUCUCUCUUAAAUACGUAAUUAAUGCAAGAGAUAAACUACACCCCACUCAAGUUUUUUUUUUCCAUUCUAAUUAGCUGUCAAAGAUUAAUUAAAUAUAUGGACAGUUGAAAGAAACAUUUCUCUGCUUUUCUAUUUUUUCUAAAUCUCUUACAUUUUCUCUUAUAGAUAUACGCAUGUUACGAUAGUCUUUAUAGUUCCAGUUCUAUCACUGUAACAAAAUAUAUUUUAAAUAAUAUUUUUUAGACAACGCUCUAUUAUAAUAUCUUCAAUAUUUGGUAUAUAUCAACAGUAUGACUAAAUAUUGUUAAUAAAUAUAUUUUUAUUAAAAUACUGAUAAAUUUUUCGACGCUAUAUUAAAGCGUCUGUAUAUAUAUCCCAACAUAUUUACUUAACGACUCUUUAUUCGAUAUUUUUACAGGUGUCGAGAUUAUUCUUACUGAUGCUUUAAAAACGAUCUCGAAUUUUUGUAAGUAGUAUUUCGUGAUGGACUAUUGAUGCAUAUAAAAAAAAAUUAUGUGGUUUGAUACUUUAGUUUAAAUCUAUAGAUGAAGAUGGAGCGAAAAUUUUAUUAUAGCCAAAAGUGCAGAAGAUAAGAUUUAUGCCCAUUGUUCACCCUUAUCUUGACCACAUGUUGCGGUCUAGGUUCUGGGGUGAAGAAGAUCUGCAUUAUUGCGCUUAUGUAUGUACUAUUUUCUUGACAAUUUGGGCAAUAGAAUUAAGCUCGUAUGUUUUUAAUAGUGUAAGUUAUUGAUGUUUGUAAAUUUUCGAUCUUUGAGUUAAGGGAUGUGCGGUUUGAAUGAAAAUAAUCUUCUUAGGUUGAUUGGAUAGUUGGUUGAAUAGUAUAUAUGCUCUAACGAGUAAAAAUAGUUAAAAGGAUAAAUCUAACGGCAGAAAACUUAUAAGCACUAAGUACUUGCUACUUUUGAAAACAUCAUAGUCGGACUCUCGAGCAAUAUUAGUUUUUAUAAACCGAUGAAAAAUAGAUUUAAGUAAUUGAUACCGUAAAUUUGAAAUUGUAGAUGUCGUGUAGCUUUUCCAGUUUAUAUAGUUUGCUCAGUAUAUAUUUAUCGUUUAGUUUAUGAAUUCCAUUUUUGUCUACUUCAAUAUCAAUCGAUUAUCAUAUUAUUCAUAAAUAAAAAUGGUGAAUAAAAAAGUGAAAUUGUAUCGUGCAAUUUGUGAAUAUAUAUUUUUAAUUUACCUUCUUUAAAUUAGUAUAAUUAUUUUAUUUAAUAUUUGUACAAUUUAAUUACUUUCAAUUAAAUAUAUUUUGUUUGCUAUGCAUUAAUUUUACUGCUUUAUGAAAUUUUAAAGGUAAAAAUAUAUGGUUUAAUAAAAAAGGAUUGAUGAUUUGCAAUGGGCAAGGUAGAAAUAAUUUUAAAAGAGUUGUCACUAAUCUUAAUAUUUUGAAUAAUUUUUUUAAAAUUAGGUAAAUAUAUUUUUUUGGCAUUAUUAUUUUAGAAACGCUUCUAUGUAUAUUAUGUGACUGAGGAUCAGAAGGAAAAAUUUUAGAAUGCAACUGGUAUAUUGGUGACGUGGCGUAACAAACUAAUCAAAUAUCUGGUAUAUUGGUGACGUGGCGUAACAAACUAAUCAAAUAUCUCCUUUUAGAAGUAUAUAUGUUCCAUCAUGAUUGUAAAAAAAUAUCGAUUAGAAGAGGGUACGUAGUUUCGGGACCACCUCCAUAUUGGUUAUAAGAUUGGAAUUAUUGGCACAUGCACGUGUUACGUGUACGUAGCUCGAUCGGAAUAUAUAUAUAUAUAUAUAGAACAAUAAUACAUAAUUAGCAGUAUGGCACUAUUAGGUAAUAAAUAAUAUGAAGUAACGACGAAAUUAAGCGUGCUUAUAUGGAUAUGCUUCAGCAUUAAUUUUUCAAAUGGGACCGCAAAUUAUGAUGCAUGUAUUAUCUGCUUCAAACCUCUUCAUCAUCAAAUCAUCUGCUUCGCCGAGAGAAGCCAACGACGAAGCCCACAUCACAGAAAGAAACAAAAAAAGAAACAAUACUUGGUACUUGGAAGCCAUAGCUCACACUUACGACUAGUUUUGUUGCUGAGAGUAAGGUUCUCCGCAUCGAGUUUAUGUACAAGUUCUCGACCUACUAAUUAAAGUUGCUGGACCAUUAAUGGACGUGAGAGGUCAAUUAUUCGGGGCUAUUAUUAUUAUUAUUAUUAUACGAUAUCAUUAUUGGCGGCAAUUUGCACCGCUGGUCACUGAGCCCUAAUAGCUACAUUUGGUUUGGGAACAAAUUUUGAGUAAUAAUUCGUUUAUCGUUCCACCAACAAACGAUAUUUGGGAAUUAUCUAGAAUAAGCACUAAAUUACAUUUGGAUGCUGUUUAUUGAGUUGAGUUGAAAUGCUAUUAAUAGUCUUUAAAUUUUUUUACUAUCGAUUUUUUAAUUCUUAGAUUUAUAUUUUAAUUAAUUUCUUAUUUAGGUCAUGCUAUUGAAUUUUAUAGGGAUAUAUUUAUAAUUAGUUAUGUUUACAAAAAACUAUACGUAAUUAACCCUAAAUUUAAUUAAAUUUUAAUUUUAAAAUUUUUUUAGAGGAAAAGACACAGUUUUCAGUUUCGUUCAUUUUGUGGUUUUUGUUUUUUUUUAUUUUUAAAGUAAAAUCUUAUUAUGUAGAGAGUUGGUGCUAAUGUGCAUGUGAUGAAAUUUCAUUAAUUGAUUUCUCUCUUCCGUUGUUCGAUCGGAAUGCCGCAAUCAUGAGAGGGACAGCAUUCCAGUGCUCCAUACGCCAGAGUUAUUGUGGCUGAGCUUGCACCUCUAUGUGGGACAAAAAUUUUGCGGGCACCAUCCCUAAAUUAAUAAUUUGGGGACCGUGCAAAUGGGUGUCACGUGAUUGGUUCGACGGAUGCCAAUUUUUACUAUUUUUUAUCUCUCUUUAGAAAAAUAGUAUAAUUUUUUUUUUUUUUUUCAUUGAUGGCAGUCGGAUGGACCACGUGACGCCCAUCCGCAUGGUCCCUCUAUGUGUUGUCCUUGUAUGAUUGAUGAUUGAUAGUACAACAUGUCUGGCACAACAGAAUAAGAAUAAGAGCCGCACGUAAAUUUAAAAUGAUAUAUGUAAAUUAACAAAUAUUAUUAUUGUUUAGAAUAGGUGUUUCUUUUUUUUAAGAGGGAACUCACCAAAAAUAGAAAAUUUUCUAGAUAAUGGCCGUUCCCUGAUACGUCAAUGUAUUGAAGGUGUUUUCGAUAAUAAAAUUGAGAUCUAGUAAAGUACAUUUACUGAAUAUAUAUGAGCGACGAUUUGUGAUAAUUUAUCUCUUCCUUCAAAAUCGUGUAGAAAUUAGAUAGAUUUUCUUUUAAUCGAACCGCUUCCGUAUUGAUCUAUAUAUAUAUAAUGUGAUUUGAAUACUCAUAAAAGGGGAUGGUGUACCAUUGCCCACUUUUAACAUGCACAAGACAUAGACUAUAAGUAAAAUUUACUUUUGUCUAAAUAAACGAAAGAUGAAAUAAUUAAUUUGAUUUGAUUUGAAAUUUAUAGUGGUGUUGGACCACAACAUACAUCUGAGUAAUUUAGAUACGACCUUAUUUUCUGUAGAUAUAUGAGAUUCGGUUAAAUUGCACUACAUGUCUCUGAACUUAAAUUUAAUUUUCAAAAAUUUGAUAUAUAUUUAAGACCGGACUUUUUGAAUUAUAUCAUUCUAGUCCUUAUUCUGAAUAAAAAAUGGGGUUAAAUUAUAGUCAAACUUUUCCCUGCAUGUGUCAGUUUACACCCUCAAUUUUUAAAUAUGUUGAAUGGGUAAAUUGCACUACUACUUCCCAAACUUCUAUUUUAGUCGUCAAUUUUUAAGUUUCGCAAUAUUUAGGACUCGUUGAAUGUAUCAUUCUAGCCCUUAGUUCAAAAAAAUAAAAAAUAAAAAAUAAAAAACUAUCGGAGAGAAAGAGAAAAGCUAAAUUUGUAGAAAACCUCCAUACAAAAGUUGUAUUUUACACUUUAUUUUCUUCAAUAUUUAAACUAUCAGGCAAAAUUAUUAUAUACCGACUAAGAUUUUAUAUUACAAUCACUCGCCCAAUCAUAUAUUAAGAAGCGGAAAAAGAUCUAAUAUGGUGUUAAUUAAAGAACUUGAAUCUUAUCCAAAAUAAGCGGUAAAGAUAGAUAACCUUCACAUUAGGUGUACUAUUUUAUUUUUAUCUAGUAAGAAACUAUACACAAGUACUCUAAUAAUAUAAUGUCUUUUCUAUUUCAAUUAUAUGUACUUUCCAUAUUGAACCUCACAUUACUUCAUAAAUAUUCAAAACAAAUAAAUCUAAAAAAAAAUUUCUCAAAAAACAAUAUAAAAAAAUAUUAUUAUUGAGAUAUUUUCGUAUCAUAAAGUUGCAUGUGAAUGUGCAGGACUUUUCAAAUUGUCUCGGGGGCCAUCCCAAUUAUUUUGCUGCCAACGUAUUCAAUGCGGUGACAACCGACAUUUAAUUAUUGGAGCAAAAAAAUGUAAGGAAACCCCUAAACUAUAAGCCUCUUUGAAAUAGCUCCUUCAAUCUAGUUUUUCUCUCAUUGCCCUCUUUUAUAUUAGUUUAGAGUGUGUUUGGUUCCACCUAAAAUUAUUUCAAUUUUUUUUUGGCAGUUGAAAAGUAAAUUCUCGAUGUUUGAUUGUUUGCAAAAAAAAUUUCUCAAUUUUUUUUUUUUACAGAUUCAAUAGAACUGGAGGAUUUUGUUCUCUGCUUGUUUCGAGAGGAAAACGAAAACUUCAGCCGCGAAAAUACGUGGCGUUUCGGAAAGGCGGGGAUGUGUAUCACGUGGUCCAAAAGGUGACCUCCACCUCGUGGACUGCAUGAGAGUCUCUCCCCCUUUUCUUAUAUAUAUAUAGAGUCCGGCAGCUAUACUCUAAUUAUGAGAACGAUCGCCCUCCUACUCAUAAGUCGUUUUCGAUAAUAGAGUUUCCGAAUCGACAAUCCAUACCGUUAAACAUUAUCUACAGUAUUUAAAACUUCUAGAAAUCAAAUUCUAUAGUAGGUCUUGUGUGCUUUUAGAAGUACAAGGCCUUCAUACUGCUAAACCGUUUUCGAUGAUAGAGAUUCUAAAUUAACGAUCGAUUCCGUUAGACUUGAUUUAGCAUAUUUGAAAUAUCUAAAAAAUAAAUUUUACGAUUUUUCGAUAUCAUUUAUCUAACGAUCAAAAGAGUUCAAAAUCAACGGUUGAAAAUAAAAAUCUCACAAAAAGCGGUGAUAUGGACACUAAAAUUUUUGAUUAGAGAUAUUGAUCUUGCUAUAAAUAGUAUAAAUAAUUUUUUAUAAAAAUUUUAUCUGAUUUGAAUAAUUAUACACGGUUAAAUUUGCAAACAGUAUAUAUAUAUCAACAAUUAACAAUUAUUAAUUUUGAUCCCUUUCGAUCAUUAAGUAAAUGAUAUUAAAAAAUCACAAAAUUUAUUUUCUAAAUAUUUUAAAUACGCUAGAUCAAGUUUAACGGAGCUGAUCGUUAAUUCAAAAGCUCCAUCAUCAAAAAUAGUUUAGAAGCACAGAGGCUCGAUCCGUGCUUCUAAUAGCGUAGUUGAAAUAUUCAAAAACUCCAUCAUCAAUGAUCGGUGCGAAUUAAGGAAGAAAAAAUUCAACUUAUCUUACAAAAUUAUUUUGGGAAAUCCUCGCUGCACAAUUAGGCGAAUCCUAUGCCCAAAUGAACAUCAAGAGAUUGAUAAAAAAAAGGGAGAGCAAAGAAAUGGGUUUAAAAAAACACAAGGAGGGCCCCAAUCCACCUCUCCUCCACCCAAAUAAAUGUACGCGGUACCGCCACGUUGGAUUAAACUGUGAUUUUAUAAAUUUUUAUUAUAGAAGAUGUUAUCAACAAAAAAUUUUAAUUCUUAUAUUUUUUUAUAUAUAAAGUGAAAAUUUUUAUUUUAGUUUAUUUUAAUAUCUUUUCUGUGAAACAAUCGUUGUACUCUAAAAACUUAAAUUGUUAGAGAACGAUGUUUAAACAUUUUUUAUAUUUAACACUCCCCCUCACGUCUGGGCUUGAGACUUUUUAGUCGGCCCAUGACGUGAGCUUGAAUUAAAUGGGAGGAAAUUAAUAUGUUAGGAGUCUGGCGUGACUCCAACUCAAGACCUCCUGCUCUGAUUUAGAUGUGAAACAACUGUUGUACUCUAAAAGCUUAAACUGUUAGAGAACGGUGCUUAAACAUUUUUCAUAUUUAACACUCCCCCUCACGUCUGGGCUCGAGACUUUUUAGUCGGCCCAUGACGUGGGCUUGAAUUAAAUGGGAGUAAAUUAAUAUGCUAGGAGCCUGGCGUGACUCGAACUCAGGACCUCCUGCUCUGAUACCAUGUGAAACAUCCGUUGUACCCUAAAAGCUUAAGCUGUUAGAGAACGGUGUUUAAACAUUUUUUAUAUUUAACAUUUUCCUGCAUUUGAUUCAAAAUUUAUUACAAACUAAUAGGUUGAUGAUGUCUUCUGUUUUUAUUUAAUAUCUAAAUUUGAGGGCAGUGAGUACCCCAAUUUAAUUUUUUUAAUUCAAUAUCAUUUGAUUAUCAAAUUAUUCAUAAAUAAAAAUGGUGAAUAAAAAGUGAAAUUGUAUCGUACAAUUUGUGAAUAUAUAUUUUUAGUUUACCUUGUUUAAAUUAGUAUGAUUGUUUUAUUUAAUAUUUGUACAAUUUAAUUACGUUCAAUUAACUAUAUUUUGUUUGCUAUGCAUUUUACUGCAUUUAUGAAAUUUUAAAGGUAAAAAUUUAUAGUUUAAUCAAAAAGUAUUGAUGAUUGGCAUUGGGCAACGUAGAAAUUUUGAAAGAGUUGUCACUAAUCUUAAUAUUUUGAAUAAUUUUUUUUCAAAUUAGCUAAAUAUUUUUGGCAUUAUUAUUUUAGAAAAGCUUCUAUGUAUAUAAUGUGACAAAGGAUUAGAAGAGGGUACGUAGAUAUGAUGUUAUUCCUAGGUAAUACACUAAUUACCUUAACUCUUUGAAUGGUUCAUAAGGCGGAAACAUUUUGAUAAUUAAUAUAAAGGGUACAACUCGAUCUUUCUUUCUUUUUUUUUCUUUUUUUUCUUUUUUUUUUUUUGAGAAAAGGUAGUGAAGCUACCUGCUUCAUUCAUUAGGCUAAAUAAACUAAGCAUAUAUGAUUGAGGCAACUAAGGCCUCCGGAAGGGUCUUGAAGAAAAACAAAAUAAAUGGAAAAAAAAGGAAAAAAAAGAAAAAAGACAAAAAAGUAGACAACAGUGAAUAAACCUUACUAAAAACGGUCGUCCCAAUAAGGUACCAAAACAGGGUGCGCGGUCGAGUCAAAGUGCGUCAGCCCAGUCUUUGAUCAAGUAAGUGACACGUUCGAUGGCCCGGGCAGCGUUAGAACGUGUAUCGCGAAAAAUAAUAUUAUUACGUUCCGUCCAUACCACCAACCAGAUUGCCUCUAGAUGAGCCCGGCUUUGACUCGAUCAUUACUAGGCUUUGACUCGAUCAUUACUCCGGUACAUUCUAGUUUUGUAUACUCCAGCUCCGAGGAGAACACAACGCUCGUUUCCGAGAUGCAGAACAAAUUAAACAGAUGCUGUAGCAUCAUGUCACGUUUCAAAUUGUUUCGUGACCACCUCAAUAUAUGUUCACUUUUUUGUACACAUGGUUACUGCAGAUUGAACCAGCACGUGACCGAUACGUACGUUUAGUCCCCAUUAAGAUUGGAAUUAUUGGCACAUGCACGUGUUAGGUGUACGUAGCUCGAUCGGAAUAUAGAACAAUAAUACAUAAUUAGUAUGGCACUAUUAGGUAAUAAAUAACAUGAAGUAACGACGAAAGCAAGCUUAUAUGGAUAUGUUUCAGCACUUUUCAAAUGGGAUGGCAAAUUAUGAUGUACGAAAUAUAUUAUUACAUACAAAAAUAAAUAAAAUAUUUAUUUAUCAUAUUUUUUCUUUACAGGUGGCACAAUCUUUCAAUAAUUUCAAACAAAGCGUUAGUGUAUUAGAAUUUUAAUUCUUGAAUGAGAAAUUGUUGGAUUAAAAUGAUAUUAGUAUCUUAGAGUUGAGUGAUUCCUCUAAAGUUGAGUGGUUCCUACUGAAUUAUAAUAUUUAAUUCAAUAAUUUAAAAUAAUAAAAAGAAUUGAUCCAAAAAACCUAUAGCAAAAAUGGCCUUUUGGUAUCAAUAGUAUUCUAUCCCAUCUCUCUCUCUCUCUCUCUCUCUCUUUCUCUCUCUCUCUCUAUAUAUAUAUAUAUAUAUAUAUAUGAAUCAGGCUGGGAUACUAUCAAUAGGACCAAGCGUUUAGUGCUAUCAAGUUUUUCACUGUUAGAUUUAACUCUUUGACUAUUUUUAUCUGUUAGAUUAUACUAUUAAACCGAUAACUUAUUCAACCCUAGGAGGCCCACAUUAUUUUAACCGUAUAUUUUUUCAUCCAAGGACCGAAAAUCUAAUAGCACCAAUAGUUUGGUGCUAUUGAUAAUAUUCCAGCCUAGUUCUAUAUGCACACACAGGUCUUGUGUGCUAUUAGGAGCACAGAAGUCUUCGUGCUCCUAAGUCAUUUUUUAUGAUGAAGUUUUUGAAUCGACGAUCGAUUCCAUUAGACUUGAUUUAUCUAUUUAAAAUAUUUAGAAAAUAAAUUUUAAAGAAAGCGCUAGUGGAUUAGCAUUUAGCGAGUUAGAUUUCAAUUUCUUACCUCACAUGUAGUGUGUGGGCUUAGAUUUCAACUUCUUACCUCACAUCUAGUGUGUGGGCAUGUACGUAAUUGCACCGCACAGAGCAAUAUAGAUGCACAAUUCUAUUAACUGCUACAGGCUUUACAUACCAUUACUUGAUGAUCUUAUUCGGAUAAAAAUUUGCUAGGCAUCAUCCCCAAAUUAUAAGUUGGGGGACGAUGCGGAUGUGUGCCGCAUCGCCCUUCCGACACGCGCCCAUGGAAGGAAAAAAAAAAAAUGGCGCCCUGUGUUUAUAUAGAGAGAGAGAGUGAGAGAGAGAGAGAGAGCAGAGGGAGGGAGGAGAGUGAUCGUCGGAUGGGUCAGGCGGCGCCCAUCUGUAUCAUCUAGUUUGGAGACCAUGCCCAGCAACUUUUUGUCCAACUUACUCAUCAAAACAGCAUAAACUUACAAAAUUAAAUACAAACAGUUGGCUACUAAAUAUAUAUUAGGCAGCCAGUGGAACUGAUAAUAAUGCAACAAAAAUACAAAUGAAAACAGCAAGCCCUACUCGAUCAUACAGAUAAUCUUCGCACGAGCAUCGCCCGAUUUAUUACAUAGCUUAUAAGGUACGUAGCACACAGGGCACUUCAUUGCAUGCUAAAUCGCAGCUUCGAUAACCCUUACAUGGAGCUGACACGAUCAUCCGAACCCAUGUCAGAGGGUUCUGUAAUGCGCGGUGACGAAACAAGAGUCGGGUAAAUACCAUAGCUAGCCAGACCACAUAAUCCAGGAUAUGCCGUGUCUCUUAACAUCCUCACGUAUCCAUUUUCUCCCCACCUGUUGCCCCAUGAAUUCUUUAUUAUCCAAUACUUGUCUCCGGUGCUGCUGUCCUGCCCGUAACCUACGACGGUAACGGCAUGGAAAAUAUUUGUCCCACAAG